RNAcentral lists this ribosomal RNA (274 nucleotides) under uncultured bacterium. RNAcentral describes it as "partial 16S ribosomal RNA". It matches the Rfam family "Bacterial small subunit ribosomal RNA", at positions 523 to 796 of the family's 1533-position model. The record is from RNAcentral.
AUACGGAGGGAGCAAGCGUUAUUCGGAAUCACUGGGCGUAAAGGACGCGUAGGCGGGUUUGUAAGUCAGGUGUGAAAUCCUACAGCUCAGCUGUAGAACUGCACUUGAAACUACAGACCUAGAGUAUGGAAGGGGCAGAUGGAAUUAGUGGUGUAGGGGUAAAAUCCGUAGAUAUCACUAGGAAUACCGAAAGCGAAGGCGAUCUGCUGGGACAUUACUGACGCUGAGGCGUGAAAGCGUGGGGAGCAAACAGGAUUAGAUACCCUAGUAGUCC